CGCCCAUUAGCUAGCCCUCCACCCAAAAACCAACACACCCUCAUCAAUUAACCCCUAACGCACCCGCAUUAAACCAAACAAAUCAUUUUUCCCCCCAAGUAUGGGCGACAGAAAAGGAACUACGGAGCAACAGAGAAAGUACCGCAAGGGAACGCUGAAAGAGAAAUGAAAUAACCCAGUAAAGCCUAAAAAAGCAGAGAUUCGCACUUGUACCUUUUGCAUCAUGAUUUAGCUAGUAAACCCAAGCAAAGAGAACUUUAGUUUGGCACCCCGAAACUAAGUGAGCUACUCCAAGACAGCCUAAUAUAGGGCGAACCCGUCUCUGUGGCAAAAGAGUGGGAAGAGCUUCGAGUAGAGGUGACAAAUCUACCGAACUUAGUGAUAGCUGGUUGCUUGAGAAAUGGAUAGGAGUUCAGCCUUUUAGCUUCUCACUUCAAUUUUCGUUUAUACUUCAAUUAGAGCUCAAAGAAACUAAAAGAGUUAAUCUAAGGGGGUACAGCCCCUCAGAUAAAGGACACAACCUUCACAGGAGGGUAAAGAUCAUAUUUAACCCAAGGUAAAGUAUCCCGGUGGGCUUAAAAGCAGCCACCCCUUCAGAAAGCGUUAAAGCUCAAAUACACCCAACCUUCCAUCGAUCCCGAUAACACAAUCUCACCCCCCUUUCUAUAUCAAGCCAUCCCCUGCAAGCAGGGGAGAAAUAAUGCUAAUAUGAGUAAUAAGAGAAAGUAGAUUCUCUCCCUGCACAAGUGUACUUCGGAACGGACUAACCACCGAACCUUAACGUCCCCAAACAAAGAGGGAAAUGGAUUACAAACAAGACAACUAGAAAAGUAUCCAAAAUUAACCCGUUAACCCCACACUGGUGUGCUUCAUGGGAAAGACUAAAAGGAGGGGAAGGAACUCGGCAAACACUUAAAGCCUCGCCUGUUUACCAAAAACAUCGCCUCUUGCAAGACCAAUGAAUAAGAGGUCCCGCCUGCCCUGUGACUAUAUGUUUAACGGCCGCGGUAUUUUGACCGUGCGAAGGUAGCGCAAUCACUUGUCUUUUAAAUGAAGACCUGUAUGAAUGGCACCACGAGGGCUUAACUGUCUCCCUCUCCCAGUCAAUGAAAUUGAUCUCCCCGUGCAGAAGCGGGGAUAAAAACAUAAGACGAGAAGACCCUAUGGAGCUUAAGACGCCAGAACAGCCCACGUUAAACACCCCAAAAUAAAGGAAAAAACCAAGUGGACCCUGCUCUAGUGUUUUUGGUUGGGGCGACCGCGGGGAAAAACUUAACCCCCAUGUGGAAUAGGAGUACUAUACUCUUAGAUCCAAGAGCUCCCGCUCUAAUAAACAGAAUUUCUGACCAACAAGAUCCGGCAAUGCCGAUCAACGGACCGAGUUACCCUAGGGAUAACAGCGCAAUCCUCUUAAAGAGCCCUUAUCGACAAGGGGGUUUACGACCUCGAUGUUGGAUCAGGACAUCCUAAUGGUGCAGCCGCUAUUAAGGGUUCGUUUGUUCAACGAUUAAAGUCCUACGUGAUCUGAGUUCAGACCGGAGUAAUCCAGGUCAGUUUCUAUCUAUGAAAGUGAUCUUUUCUAGUACGAAAGGACCGAAAAGAAAGGGCCCCUAUCUAACGAUACGCCCUACCUCCACCUACUGAAAACAACUAAAGUAGGCAAGGAGGCACACACCCCUGCCUGAGAGAACGGCUA
Molecule: ribosomal RNA, 1696 nt
Filed under: Diplodus holbrookii (spottail pinfish)
Lineage: Eukaryota; Metazoa; Chordata; Actinopteri; Spariformes; Sparidae
Description: 16S ribosomal RNA
Rfam family: Bacterial large subunit ribosomal RNA
Source: RNAcentral